This 433-nucleotide ribosomal RNA is filed under the name uncultured bacterium. RNAcentral's name for it is "partial 16S ribosomal RNA". It matches the Rfam family "Bacterial small subunit ribosomal RNA", at positions 29 to 507 of the family's 1533-position model. The record is from RNAcentral.
AACGAACGCUGGCGGCAUGCCUAACACAUGCAAGUCGAACGAGACCUUCGGGCCUUGUGGCGCACGAGUGCGUAACGCGUGGUAACCUGCCCUUAGUUUCGGGAUAACUCCCCGCAUGGUGUCCUAAUACCGGUUAAUGUCUCCGGACCAAAGAUUUAUCGCCGUUGGAUGUGCCCGCGUUGGAUUUGCUAGUUGGUAGGGUAAAAGCCUACCAAGGCGACGAUCCAGAGCUGGUUUGAGAGGAUGAUCAGCCACACUGGGACUGAGACACGGCCCAGACUCCUACGGGAGGCAGCAGUGGGGAAUAUUGGACAAUGGGCGAAAGCCUGAUCCAGCAAUGCCGCGUGAGUGAUGAAGGCCUUAGGGUUGUAAAGCUCUUUUACCCGGGAUGAUAAUGACAGUACCGGGAGAAUAAGCUCCGGCUAACUCCGUG